UAAAAUAUUACUAAGGCUUCAGUUGAGAGC
Molecule: non-coding RNA, 30 nt
Filed under: Mus musculus (house mouse)
Lineage: Eukaryota; Metazoa; Chordata; Mammalia; Rodentia; Muridae
Source: RNAcentral